RNAcentral lists this transfer RNA (69 nucleotides) under Abbottina rivularis (Chinese false gudgeon). RNAcentral's name for it is "tRNA-Ala". It matches the Rfam family "tRNA". From Rfam's summary of the family: Transfer RNA (tRNA) molecules are approximately 80 nucleotides in length. Their secondary structure includes four short double-helical elements and three loops (D, anti-codon, and T loops). The record is from RNAcentral. Lineage: Eukaryota; Metazoa; Chordata; Actinopteri; Cypriniformes; Gobionidae.
GAGGCCUUAGUUUAGUUAAAACAUUUGACUUGCAAUCAUAAAAUGCAAGAUAGAUUCUUGUAGGUCUUA